Molecule: long non-coding RNA, 1385 nt
Organism: Chenopodium quinoa (quinoa)
Lineage: Eukaryota; Viridiplantae; Streptophyta; Magnoliopsida; Caryophyllales; Amaranthaceae
Exons: 5
Source: RefSeq, a predicted model, not a curated record
UCUUCUUUCUUUCUCUCUCCUCGAUCUCUCCUCCUCUCAACAAUGGAAACCCUAAAUUCCUUCUCUCUCCUUCGAUCUCCUUCUCUUUCCUCAAACUAAAAACAACCCUAAAGCUCCUUUGCCUUGCAAUUAGCCGUUGUCACUCUUAUUCCCCACAGAGAGCCUCUCAUCUUCUUCUAGCCCACCAUAGAAGCGUGCACUCUACAUUCACCAUUGACGUUUCCUCGCGUCCUCCUCCUUAGCCAGCUCGAUUCUUCUACAAUCGAUUAUUGAACACUAUUGGUUAUAAUUGAAGCUGAUGAUGGUAGGCUGGAAGCGUUGCUGUAAUGGUGGCAGGAGAGGAAAUGGUGUUUGUGGUUGUAUAAGCUGUGCUGGAGGAACCACGCAUGGGCUUUAACAUUGAAGGGAAUCAAAUUUUGGACUUAUGAUGACAUUAUCUCAUAACAAGAAAGCGCCUAAGUGCCUGUUGGUUGAAAUUGAAGAAGUUCGUGUUGUCAAGAGUGCUGGUCGGAGAAAGCAAGGUGUUUUAAAUGCUCCAAGGCCCAGCAAAACAACAGCAAUAACCAGCACCAGGCAGGCACAGCACCUGACAACAACUAACAGCCAGCAGAUAGCCAACAGGCUUUGCAAAACCAGGUCAGCAACCAAAUAGCAGCAUCACAUCAGCUGAAAGAGCAGGCAACAGAACAGCAGCUACAGAGCCAUCAGCUAACAGAGUAGACAACAAAACAACAGCAGCAAAAGUCAUAACAACAGCAAGCAGAAGCAGAACAACAAUAGCAGUGCAGAAGCAGGACAGUAUUAGCAGUGCAGACAGAAGACACACAGCAGCCAGAACACCUUGCAACACACUGCAUGCAACAAAACAGGAAGACAGAAGCAGAGACAAGCUAGUAGCAUGCAGCACAGACACCAGCAGCCUGAACCAGCACACACCAGCCAGAGCCAAAGCAGCCAGAAAUAGAAAGCAAUAGCCAGCAACAGCUAAACACACCCUGCAAACAGAAACCAGCAACCAGACACAAAGCAAGCAAUACAGCCAAUAGAAAAUAGCAGCUUAAACAGCAACAAAACACCAACAACCUAAACCAGAAGCUGCAUAGCCACCUGGCUUAAAUCAAAAGGUAUUUCCUUGUGCCCACUGAGCACCUACAAGCAACUCUAAACUUAUGACUGGAUUACUGCUGGAAUUUUCAAGUGUUGGUUUAGAUUGCAACACUGGUAUGCUUAGGGUGUAACUCUGGUUUUAAGUUGCAACACCUGCUGAUUUUAAGUUAGAAAAAGCCAAAACUAAAGAUGUUGAAGUGCUGGUUAAUUGUAAUAUUACAGCCUUUUUUAAUGAAAAUAUGUAACUUUAUAUAUAUGUUAGUGUUUCUAUAUCAAUU